GACGAACGCUGGCGGCGCGCUUAACACAUGCAAGUCGAACGGAAAGGCCUGCUUUCCCUUGUGGAUUGCGGGUACUCGAGUGGCGAACGGGUGAGUAACACGUGAGUUAUCUGCCCCCAACUUGGGUAUAAGCCUGGGAAACUGGGUCUAAUUCCCGAUAGGACUGCAGGGUGGUGCCUGUGGUGGAACACGAUUUUCUAGUGGUUGGGGAUGAGCUCGCGGCCUAUCAGCUUGUUGGUGGGGUAAUGGCCUACCAAGGCGGCGACGGGUAGCCGGCCUGAGAGGGUGGACGGUCACAUUGGGACUGGGAUACGGCCCAGACGCCUACGGGAGGCAGCAGUGGGGAAUCUUGGACAAUGAGCGGGAGCCUGAUGCAGCGACGCCGCGUGGGAGAUGACGGCCUUCGGGUUGUAAACUCCUUUCGACCGCGAGGAAGCCACCUGGUUGGAAGGGUGGUGACGGUAGUGGUAGAAGAAGCACCGGCUAACUACGUG
Molecule: ribosomal RNA, 494 nt
Filed under: uncultured bacterium
Lineage: Bacteria
Description: partial 16S ribosomal RNA
Rfam family: Bacterial small subunit ribosomal RNA
Source: RNAcentral